AGUAAAUUGUCUGAUUAAAGUAAUAAAUUGUAAAUUUAUUUAAAGAAAAAAAUUCUAUUUACUA
Molecule: transfer RNA, 64 nt
Filed under: Diapriidae sp. ZJUH_2016010
Lineage: Eukaryota; Metazoa; Arthropoda; Insecta; Hymenoptera; Diapriidae
Description: tRNA-Tyr
Source: RNAcentral